Molecule: non-coding RNA, 882 nt
Organism: Symphalangus syndactylus (siamang)
Lineage: Eukaryota; Metazoa; Chordata; Mammalia; Primates; Hylobatidae
Source: the annotation of a RefSeq genome assembly
ACAAGGACGUCCCUCCUCCUCUGCUCCUGCUCACAGUGACCCUGAUCGGGUAAAGCUCCCAUCCUGCCCUGACUUUGUCAUGGGCACCAGCCUCCUCUGCUGGGUAGCCCUGUGCCUCCUGGGGGCAGAUCAUAUAGGUGCUGGAGUCUCCCAGACCCCCAGUAACAAGGUCGCAGAGAAGGGAAAGGAUGUAGAGCUCAGGUGUGAUCCAAUUUCAGGUCAUACUGCCCUUUACUGGUACCGACAGAGCCUGGGGCAGGGCCCAGAGUUUCUGAUUUACUUCCAAGGCAAGGAUGCACCAGAUGACUCGAGGCUGCCCAAUGAUCGGUUCUCUGCAGUGAGGCCUGAGGGAUCCGUCUCUACUCUGAAGAUCCAGCGCACAGAACAGGGGGACUCAGCCGUGUAUCUCUGUGCCAGCAGCUUAACCACAGCAUGACACAAUCGCCUCCUUCCUGCUCAUAAACCUCCUCCUCUCUCUCCUUGCUUCCUUAUGAUACUAUUUUGCACCAGGGCAUCCUCAUCUCACACCACUCCACUGCCUCUUCCAGAAUCAUUGCUUGCAUGUCCGCUGCUCAGAUCAGCGGAUGUGCAUUGUACACGUUAAUCAUUUUCUGUGGAAGGCCCUUUGCUGGUCUUCAUUAUCCAUCUUUAUUUUCCGCAUUGGAUACUGCCCCCUUCAAGAUUACUUGUUGCCUACAAGGGAUCCUACUUUUUACAUUCAAAUUUUACUUUUUAUUAAUAUGUAUUUGAUGCCAUCUUAAAGGCAAUCUCAUUAUUGUCCCAAUCUUUUGCUAAUCUUUAUGUUAAUGGUAACAUUGAUUGUUAUUUUGGGGGAUAUGUAUUUCAUCUUUGGUAAUGAAAUGAAAUAACUAUGCACUUCAA